Molecule: non-coding RNA, 21 nt
Filed under: Caenorhabditis elegans
Lineage: Eukaryota; Metazoa; Nematoda; Chromadorea; Rhabditida; Rhabditidae
Source: RNAcentral
UUUUCUGGAAAAUUUUGAAUC